This 300-nucleotide ribosomal RNA is filed under the name Triticum aestivum (bread wheat). RNAcentral describes it as "partial small subunit ribosomal RNA". The record is from RNAcentral. Lineage: Eukaryota; Viridiplantae; Streptophyta; Magnoliopsida; Poales; Poaceae.
AUGCAUGCGACAACCACAAAAGAGCAUGAAUUUAUUGAUAUAUCCAGUAAACACAAAGAGGUUAUGGAUGUUAGCAGACACGCCGUCGCCCAAGAAUCUUGCACAGACCAUGAAGAAAAGAAUCCACCAGUAGAACCAGAUCAACCACCACCAGACGACAAGAUACCACACCAUGCUGAAGAGCAAACGGACGAGCAAAAUAUCAACAGCAAUACCCCGACCACAGAGCAACUUGAACAAACAGGCAUUGACUUAAAAGAGGAUGGCACAAGCAACGACGUACCAAAUACACAAGAAUAG